AGGCAGCACUCAGUGGCAGACAAGGGGAGUGAAACUACAAAAUAAGAGCACCAGACAGCAACUUAAACAGCACACACUCGGGGAAAACAGUCAUCAGAGUCUGGAUUAAAAACUUAAUCGCUGUUUUUGCAGGGUCCCUUGCGAAGGGCAGAGAUGGGCAUCGCCACCACCCGCCGACUGGUGCUGAAGAAAUGUACGGGACCGACCUUCAAGUUGUACAGAGCGGUCAAGCGAACAUGUUUAUGUCAACCAGCAAGUUUUCGGAUGGGAAAUUAAGUCAGCUCUUACCGGAGACUUCAGUGGAUUAUGGGACCUCCUGCAGCAGCUGUCAAAAAAGCAGCUGUGUUCUUGGCUU
Molecule: long non-coding RNA, 355 nt
Organism: Nerophis ophidion (straightnose pipefish)
Lineage: Eukaryota; Metazoa; Chordata; Actinopteri; Syngnathiformes; Syngnathidae
Exons: 3
Source: RefSeq, a predicted model, not a curated record